Molecule: unclassified non-coding RNA, 284 nt
Filed under: plant metagenome
Description: partial contains small subunit ribosomal RNA and internal transcribed spacer 1
Rfam family: Eukaryotic small subunit ribosomal RNA (bases 1-46)
Source: RNAcentral
AAGUCGUAACAAGGUUUCCGUAGGUGAACCUGCGGAAGGAUCAUUAUUGAAUGAACUUGGUGUGGUUGUUGCUGGCUCUUUCGAGGGCAUGUGCACGCCCACCAUCCUCAUCUCUCCACCUGUGCACCUCUUGUAGACUUGGAUUGACUUUCCGAGGCAACUCGGUCGGGAGGAUUGCCGGCGCCAGCUGGCUUUCUUUGCAUUUCCCAGGCUACGUUUUUCAUAUACCCAUUGUAUGUAACAGAAUGUAACAUUGGGCACUUGUGCCUAUAAACUUUAUACAA